Molecule: non-coding RNA, 78 nt
Organism: Schistosoma haematobium
Lineage: Eukaryota; Metazoa; Platyhelminthes; Trematoda; Strigeidida; Schistosomatidae
Source: Rfam
AUCUUUUCGAAUCCGUGAUGAAAUUUCGUCAAUCACCAACUCAUUAGAACUGAUCAAACUUCCAAGAUAAGUGAAGUU